UGCAAGUCGUACGAGAGUUUUUAACUCUAGUGGCGGACGGGUGAGUAACACGUGAGAAUCUACCCUAAGGAGGGGAAUAACAGCUGGAAACGGUUGCUAAUACCCCAUAUGCCGUAAGGUGAAAGGAUUUAUCCACCUUAGGAAGAGCUCGCGUCUGAUUAGCUAGUUGGUGAGGUAAAGGCUCACCAAGGCCAUGAUCAGUAGCUGGUUUGAGAGGACGAUCAGCCACACUGGGACUGAGACACGGCCCAGACUCCUACGGGAGGCAGCAGUGGGGAAUUUUCCGCAAUGGGCGAAAGCCUGACGGAGCAAUACCGCGUGAGGGAUGAAAGCCUGUGGGUUGUAAACCUCUUUUCUCAAGGAAGAAGUUCUGACGGUACUUGAGGAAUAAGCAUCGGCUAACUCUGUGCCAGCAGCGGCGGUAAUACAGAGGAUGCAAGCGUUAUCCGGAAUCACUGGGCAUAAAGCGUUUGUAGGUGGUUUGAUAAGUCUGCUGUUAAAGACUAGGGCUUAACCCUAGGAAAGCAGUGGAAACUGUCUGACUUGAGUAUGGUAGAGGUACAGGGAAUUCCUAGUGUAGCGGUGAAAUGCGUAGAUAUUAGGAAGAACACCAAUGGCGAAAGCACUGUACUGGGCCACAACUGACACUGAGAGACGACAGCUAGGGGAGCAAAUGGGAUUAGAUACCCCAGUAGUCCUA
Molecule: ribosomal RNA, 700 nt
Filed under: uncultured bacterium
Lineage: Bacteria
Description: bacterial SSU rRNA
Rfam family: Bacterial small subunit ribosomal RNA
Source: RNAcentral